This 2735-nucleotide ribosomal RNA is filed under the name marine metagenome. RNAcentral's name for it is "eukaryotic LSU rRNA". It matches the Rfam family "Eukaryotic large subunit ribosomal RNA", at positions 1 to 2854 of the family's 3401-position model. The record is from RNAcentral.
UUUUAUACUCAUUGCAUUUGCGAGGACCUGUUCAAUUUAAACAUAUUACUAGACAGUGGAAUUGAAAUAAGGUUGGACUUUCUAAGUAAUAGCGAAUGAACAGAAGCUUAUUCACGUCAUAAGUUCAAUAGUAAUGGAUAUUAACAUGUAGUUAAAUUAGUUGAAUAAUUCCAAAUUAUUGAAACCUUGUUCAAAUAUAGGAUACUAGAGGAUGGAAAUCCCGUAUUUUACUAGGUAUGGAUUUCGUCUCAUCUAUCUUUAGAGUACUUCUCCCUGAUACUAGAGCUUUAAGAGUAUGUUGAUAAACAUAAAAUGAUAUAGGUUUGGUAAGGGACCUUUAGCUUACAAGUACCUUAAGGGAAUGAUGAAAAGAACUCUGGAGAGGGAGUUAAAUAGUUUAUGCGCUUUUUAGUAGAACGUGCAUCAAAGUAAUCAGAUUUACUUUGAUAUAAAAUAAGCAUUACAACUUUAUUCAGAUUUUAUAUUUAUAAUAAUUUACAAAUCAGAGUGAUGUAUGUAUAUAUCAUAUUAUUUCGAUUUAACCUGUCUGGAAACACGGACCAAAGGAGUCUAGUAAGAGUGCAAAACUUUUAAAGUUCAAUUAUUUUGAUUAUAAGUAACUUAUAUCAUACUAGUAGUAACAGUAAAUUAUAAACUAUGGAUUGUGUAUUUUUCGGCAUAUAAGCAUUUAAACUAGGUCCCGAAAGAUGGUGAACUAUACUUAUGCAGGGUUAAGUCAGGAGAAAUUCUGGUUGAGGCUCGCAAUGAUACUGACGUGCAAAUUGUUCAUUGGAUACGGGUAUAGGGGCGAAAGACUAAUCGAAUUAUCUAGUAGCUGGUUGCCUUUGAAGUUUCCCUCAGGAUAGCUAGAGAUAGUAAAAAGUUACAUGAGGUAAAGCUAAUUAUUAGAGUUUAAGGGAUUGAAUAAGUCUCAGUCUAUUAUUAAACUUUAAAUGUGUGUAAAGCGUUGUGAUCUUAAUUGUGGUGACCCGUAGAUUAAUAACUCUCUGUGGGCCAUUUUUGGUAAGCAGAACUGGCGCUACGGGUUGUUCCGAAAGCGAGGUUAAGAAGCUAAAUUGUUAGCUUAGUCUGAUACCAUAAAGGGCGUUACUUCAUUUGAAUAGCAGGACGAUGAUCAUGGAAGUUGAAACUCGCCAAGGAGUGUGUAACAACUCACCUGCCGAAUCAAGCAGCCCCAAAAAUGGAUGGCGCUCAAGGAUACUUUUGACACUAAGCUACUGAUAUAUUUGAUGUAGAUGUUAGUAUGUAGGAUGGUGAAGCAGUAACAGUAAAAAAUUACAUGUACGUUAUAUUGGAGGUAUUGUUUGUACAGAUCUUGGUCUUAGUAGCAAAUUUUCAUUAAAGAUAUAUGAAUACUGACGUGGAGUAAGAUUCCAUAUCAACAAUAAUUGGGUGUGGGUUAGUGGAUCCUAAAAAUAAUCAAUUAUAUUAAUAGUAAUUUACAAAGCUAUUUCGAUAGGAUUUCCGGUUAAUAUUCUUGAAAUGUAUAUUGUGCUAUUAUUAAGGUAACCUUACAAUUGUGGUUACAUGAUCUAAUGAAUCUAUAAGAAGUGUCCAUUCUUAUUCAAAUUACUAUGAUUCAUGAAUAAGUUUGCUUUGAGAUCGGAUUAUAUAUAGUUAAAAGCAUUGCGUUAUUCGUGAUGAAUGAUACACUCUAGAUUGGUUUAAAAAAGCUACUUCUUUAAAUGUCAUUGAAUUUUCUCCAUAUUAAUCACCGCAUCAGGUCUCCAAGGUAAUAAGCCUCUGGUUAAUAGAGAAAUGUGGGUAAGGGAAGUCGGCAAAAUGGUUCUGUAAAUUUGCGAUAAAGAAUGGCUCAUUAAGUUGGGUUAUAGGGCUCAUGGGAUAGGUUAUGUAAUAUCAAAUAUUACCGAAUAUAUUUUAUGAUAUGUUUGGAAAUUUUAUCAUUUAUAUGGUUGACAACUUGAGGGAGAUAUUUCGAUAAGAUAUUUAAGUUCCGUUAACAAUUAACAACUAAAAGUGAACUGGCGCUAACCAGAGGAACCCGACUAUUUAAUUAAAAUAAAGCAUUGUGAAGGAUUUGACGGUUGUUGAUACAAUGUGAUUUCUGCCCAGUGCUCUGAAUGUUAUAAUUAAGAAAUUCAAUAAAGCGCGGGUAAACGGCGGGAGUAACUAUGACUCUCUUAAGGUAGCCAAAUGCCUCGUCAUCUCAUUAGUGACGCGCAUGAAUGGAUUAACGAGGUUCCUUCUGUCCCUUCCUACUAUCUAGCGAAAUCACAGCCAAGGGAACGGGCUUGGGUGUAAUGGCGGGGAAAGAAGACCCUGUUGAGCUUGACUCUAUUUUGACGUUGUGAAACGGUAUUGACAGUGUAGAAUACGUGGGAGUUAUGAAGCAAUUUUGAAAUACCACUACGUCGAUCGCCGCGUUACUUAUAUAAUUAUGAUGGGAGUACUUAGUUGAGUAUGAUUCUAUGUUAACCUAUCCUAAGAAACUUGCUUAUAUAUAUCAUUAGAUAGGGAGUUUGGCUGGGGCGGCACAUCUGUUAAAAGAUAACACAGAUGACCUAAGAUCAAUUCAAUGCGAACAGAAAUUGCAUGUGGAGUUUAAGUGUAAAAGCUGAUUUGACUUUGAUAGUCAGUUUGUGUCUGAGCACUGAAAGGUCUGGCUUAGCGAUCCUUUAGAUAUUUAAUUUCAAAGCUAUAGGUGUCAUAAAAGUUACCACAGGGAUAACUGGCUUGUGGCGGCCAAGCGUUCA